AGUGAACGCUGGCGGUAGGCCUAACACAUGCAAGUCGAACGGCAGCACAGUAAGAGUUUGCUCUUACGGGUGGCGAGUGGCGGACGGGUGAGGAAUACAUCGGAAUCUACUUUUUCGUGGGGGAUAACGUAGGGAAACUUACGCUAAUACCGCAUACGACCUACGGGUGAAAGCAGGGGAUCUUCGGACCUUGCGCGAUUGAAUGAGCCGAUGUCGGAUUAGCUAGUUGGCGGGGUAAAGGCCCACCAAGGCGACGAUCCGUGGCUGGUCUGAGAGGAUGAUCAGCCACACUGGAACUGAGACACGGUCCAGACUCCUACGGGAGGCAGCAGUGGGGAAUAUUGGACAAUGGGCGCAAGCCUGAUCCAGCCAUACCGCGUGGGUGAAGAAGGCCUUCGGGUUGUAAAGCCCUUUUGUUGGGAAAGAAAAGCAGCAGGUUAAUACCCCGCUGUUCUGACGGUACCCAAAGAAUAAGCACCGGCUAACUUCGUG
RNAcentral lists this ribosomal RNA (492 nucleotides) under uncultured bacterium. RNAcentral's name for it is "partial 16S ribosomal RNA". It matches the Rfam family "Bacterial small subunit ribosomal RNA", at positions 29 to 507 of the family's 1533-position model. The record is from RNAcentral.